UCCAUUUGAGUGUGGGUGCCGAACCAUUCAAGAUCAAAACACAAAAAUUUACUCUUUGUUUUUCUCUCAAAAUUUUGUUAACGAAAAUCGUCGGGGAUAUUGCGUAGAACGUUAAUCUCUAUUUGCAUGUUCGUUUGAGAUCCAGCGAGUUUUGUCGCGGAAACCGGCGAGCAAAGGUUUUGAAUAUUCGACGGGUGAUAUUUUUAUAUUUGGAAUAAGCGAGUACUGCGAGUAGUUUGACGUGUGGAUUUCCAAUUUCUUGUUCCGGAAAUCCCUGGCUUGAAUAAAGUGACAAUGACUUUCCUUUAUGUGUCUAGAGUUGCAGUAGCUAGAAUAAUGAACGGUGAUACCGUAGUAGUCGUUGGACUUAUUUAUGCUUUAUAUUUUAUUAUAACGCUUAAACUCUGAUAUUAUGUAAUGUGGGAAUGCUGUGCGAAAGUCCGAGCGACUGCACUUGUAUAAAAUGCGAUGAACGCAUCUGCAU
Long non-coding RNA from Mercurialis annua (annual mercury), 484 nucleotides. RefSeq lists it as uncharacterized. The transcript has 3 exons. Lineage: Eukaryota; Viridiplantae; Streptophyta; Magnoliopsida; Malpighiales; Euphorbiaceae. The record is from RefSeq and is a predicted model, not a curated record.